This 356-nucleotide transfer-messenger RNA is filed under the name Clostridia. RNAcentral's name for it is "CAG-492 sp017625035 Standard tmRNA". It matches the Rfam family "transfer-messenger RNA". Rfam says of the family: Bacterial tmRNA, also known as 10Sa RNA or SsrA, is named for its dual tRNA and mRNA-like properties. Its role is to liberate the mRNA from a stalled ribosome. To accomplish this part of the tmRNA is used as a reading frame that ends in a translation stop signal. Lineage: Bacteria; Bacillati; Bacillota. The record is from RNAcentral. RNAcentral also lists the same sequence under 1 other name.
GGGGGUGUAACGGUUUCGACAGUAAUUUAGAAGUAUAAAUAGCGAGUAGUGGAUGGUUGCUUUGGCCACUAUAAAAAAGCAAAUUUAAAUAUAAACGCUGAUAAUAAAGAAUUAGCAUACGCUGCUUAGUUUGCGGCGACGUCUUAUCUUUAAUGCCCACGUUUUAGAAUAAGGCGACGAACUAGUGGGAAACGAACCUAUUUCUUGCUAUGGAAAUAGUGGGUAUUUUAUAGCUACUUUAUGAAUAAGUUUGUUUGUUAACUUACUUGUAAGGGAAUUUUGAUAACAAACUGCACUCGGAGAAGUUUAUAUGGAAAAAUUAUUGGACAGGAGUUCGAUUCUCCUCACCUCCACCA